CAGCACAACCAAACUUUUGCUGGAAUCCAAUUUUUAAUCAUCAUUGACAAGAAAAGGACCUCCCCAGCUCUAGGAUUACAUACCACGCACCUCCCUUUCGAGCCUGUCAGCUGGGGAGGCAGCCCCACGGCGAUGCUCUGCAGUGUGCUGUAACCAUGAGUGUCUCUUCCCCUCUCAGUUUUCAUGUUCCCAGUGAGGCACAGCUUCUUCAGUGACAGACUGAAACAUGACAUUUUCUUGUCCUAAUGAGAAAUGCCCAGCACAGGACUCCUGGUGCCUGAACCCCAAGCCCCAAAGCCACCUAGGCAUGCUGAAGGCUAUCUUCCAUCAUGUGCUUUCCCAAAUGGCACUUUUUACUGUCUCUCUCCUCCUAGCUAGGACUUGAACCCAAGGGAAGAGAAACUCAUAUAUUAAUAGAGGGGCUGAGCUUCUGACCUGUGCUGCCAGCAUGGCUGCAGGGUCCUUCCACAGCAGCUCCAUCCCCUUCACCCACACCAUGGCACUGCUGUGCAGACGGGGAGCUGGGGGAAAACUUGGUGGCAGAUCAGGAACAUGAGGGCAGAUGAAAGAAGCUCAUCUGCAGAGGGAGGAGGAAGUCCUGCGUGUGCUGCACAAAUGCAAACAGAGGCCAAGAAGCCACAGCAUAUCUUUCAUACCAAUGUGCCGUUCAGGAAGCUAAGAUUUUAGUUCUCUACUUGGCAACAGUGAAGGAUGCAAAUGGCUCUUUGGGAAGCUAAAACUUGCAGGCAAAUAAGGUGUUUCCCCUUGAAUUUCUAGGAACAAGAUGAAUGUGAGGCCCUGGCACAGGCUGCCCAGAGAAGCUGUGGAUGCCUCAUCCCUGGAGGUGCUCAAGGUCAGGCUGGAUGGGGCUUUGGGCAACCUGGGCUGGAGGGAGGUGUCCCUGCCCAUGGCAGGGGGUUGGAAUGAGAUGGACUUUAAGGUUCCUUCCAACCCAACCCAUUCUGUGACUCUGAUUCUAAUGUCCACGGCAUACAGGAAUCCUCCAGGUCUCCAGAGCAAGGGAAUGCUCAGGGGAAGCAGGUUGUUGCACAUGUCUCUCUGCCCCAGGAAAGUCACUGUGCCCUUCUCAGAAGGAUGGAGAGCAGCAGCUGCUGCAGGACAUGCACACUCUAGAGCACCAAAGUGA
This 1147-nucleotide long non-coding RNA is filed under the name Anas platyrhynchos platyrhynchos (common mallard). RNAcentral's name for it is "lncRNA (ENSAPLG00000020937.1)". The record is from RNAcentral. Lineage: Eukaryota; Metazoa; Chordata; Aves; Anseriformes; Anatidae.